UCGCAAGAGGAGCCUGGAGACAGGUGCUGCAUGGCUGUCGUCAGCUCGUGUCGUGAGAUGUUGGGUUAAGUCCCGCAACGAGCGCAACCCUUGUCUUUAGUUGCCAUCAUUUAGUUGGGCACUCUAAAGAGACUGCCGGUGUCAAACCGGAGGAAGGUGGGGAUGACGUCAAGUCCUCAUGGCCUUUAUGACCAGGGCUACACACGUACUACAAUGGCCGGUACAAAGGGCAGCCACUUAGCGAUAAGGAGCCAAUCCCGUAAAGCCGGUCUCAGUCCGGAUUGGAGUCUGCAACUCGACUCCAUGAAGUUGGAAUCGCUAGUAAUCGCAGAUCAGCACGCUGCGGUGAAUACGUUCCCGGGCCUU
Molecule: ribosomal RNA, 366 nt
Filed under: uncultured Desulfocapsa sp.
Lineage: Bacteria; Pseudomonadati; Thermodesulfobacteriota; Desulfobulbia; Desulfobulbales; Desulfocapsaceae
Description: bacterial SSU rRNA
Rfam family: Bacterial small subunit ribosomal RNA
Source: RNAcentral